GACAGAGGAUGCAAGCGUUAUCCGGAAUGAUUGGGCGUAAAGCGUCUGUAGGUGGCUUUUUAAGUCUGCCGUCAAAUCCCCAGGCUUAACCCUGGACAGGCGGUGGAAACUACCAAGCUGGAGUACGGUAGGGGCAGAGGGAAUUUCCGGUGGAGCGGUGAAAUGCGUAGAGAUCGGAAAGAACACCAACGGCGAAGCACUCUGCUGGGCCGACACUGACACUGAGAGACGAAAGCUAGGGGAGCGAAUGGG
RNAcentral lists this ribosomal RNA (252 nucleotides) under uncultured bacterium. RNAcentral describes it as "partial 16S ribosomal RNA". It matches the Rfam family "Bacterial small subunit ribosomal RNA", at positions 524 to 776 of the family's 1533-position model. The record is from RNAcentral.